RNAcentral lists this small RNA (1124 nucleotides) under Drosophila ananassae. Its description in RNAcentral is "GF27677". The record is from RNAcentral. Lineage: Eukaryota; Metazoa; Arthropoda; Insecta; Diptera; Drosophilidae.
CAUCUGUUUCAUUAGAAACAUCGGUCAAUUCGAUAAUACAACUUGAAAAAGGAAAACAUUUCAAUGAUCAAGGCGAUUACUCUUCAAACACCCCUAAUCUAAGUAACACAGAUGAGAGCUUUGCUUUUGCUUUAGAUUCCGUGACGAGAGAUCCUCCAACGUCAUUGCUAAAUUCAUCGAAAUCCAUAGAAAUUAUUGGGAGCUCAAGCGUAUCUUUUGAAUGCAAAUAAAUUAAAAGCACAGUCAAAUGAUAUGUAAAAAACUUUGACAAUAUGCAAUACUCUAAGACUUAGAGACAGUUGUUAUCUGAUUUAUUAACAACUCACUGCCAUACAAGUGAUUGUAUAAGUGGUUAAGUCUUAACCCUGAUUUGCAUUGUACUGGCAUUUGUUUGAAAUGAACUGUGGAUGUGCAGCAUAGAUCCCAAAAAUAAAAUUUAAGUGAUUCAUUUUAAAUAAACAGCGAAUAACCCUUCAUUAAGUAAAAUACACUAAAAAUGUUAAAAAAAAUUUUGUUUCGUGUUGCGAAUUUACACCAGUGUAAUAAAUAAAAUCUUUCAAUUGAAGUUUCAUUUAAAUUUUUGUUUACAGUGACUUACUGAAUAUCUGCUUUUAUUUUGGGUAUUCAAAAGGGUCAAUAUAAGCGGAAGAAUUGGCUUUAUCUUGAUUUGUACACUGACGACAAUAAAUUUAAAGUGACUUACUGAAUAUCUGCUUUUAUUUUGGGUGUUCAAAAGGGUCAAUAUAAGCGGAAGAAUUGGCUUUAUCUUGAUUUGUACACUGACGACAAUAAAUUUAAAGUGACUUACUGAAUAUCUGCUUUUAUUUUGGGUGUUCAAAAGGGUCAAUAUAAGCGGAAGAAUUGGCUUUAUCUUGAUUUGUACACUGACGACAAUAAAUUUAAAGUGACUUAUUGAAUAUCUGCUUUUAUUUUGGGUGUUCAAAAGGGUCAAUAUAAGCGGAAGAAUUGGCUUUAUCUUGAUUUGUACACUGACGACAAUAAAUUUAAAGCUCGAUACUUGGCCAUUUCCGGGUUCACAAAGCUCGAUAAAUUUUCAAGUGGCUUGGAGAUUAUGGUGGCCACUAGAGGUCUGCAUUCAAAUCAAAUCAUUUAAAUCGACCGUU